RNAcentral lists this ribosomal RNA (279 nucleotides) under uncultured bacterium. Its description in RNAcentral is "partial 16S ribosomal RNA". It matches the Rfam family "Bacterial small subunit ribosomal RNA", at positions 506 to 784 of the family's 1533-position model. The record is from RNAcentral.
UGCCAGCCGCCGCGGUAAUACGGAGGGUGCAAGCGUUAAUCGGAAUUACUGGGCGUAAAGGGUGCGUAGGUGGUAUGGAUAGUUUGAUGUGAAAGCUCCGAGCUCAACUCGGGAAUUGCAUUGGAUACUACCAAACUUGAGGAUCGGAGGGGAGACUGGAAUUCUUGGUGUAGCAGUGAAAUGCGUAGAUAUCAAGAGGAACACCAGUGGCGAAGGCGAGUCUCUGGACGAUUCCUGACACUGAGGCACGAAGGCUAGGGGAGCAAACAGGAUUAGAUA